CCACACACACACACACACACACACACACACACAAACACAAACACUAACACGUUUGUGUGUGUGUGUGUGUGUGUGUAUGG
This 80-nucleotide microRNA precursor is filed under the name Podarcis lilfordi (Lilford's wall lizard). Lineage: Eukaryota; Metazoa; Chordata; Lepidosauria; Squamata; Lacertidae. The record is from RNAcentral.